RNAcentral lists this unclassified non-coding RNA (253 nucleotides) under uncultured Cytophagales bacterium. Its description in RNAcentral is "contains 16S-23S intergenic spacer region". It matches the Rfam family "Bacterial small subunit ribosomal RNA", at positions 524 to 776 of the family's 1533-position model. Lineage: Bacteria; Pseudomonadati; Bacteroidota; Sphingobacteriia; Sphingobacteriales. The record is from RNAcentral.
UACGGAGGGUGCAAGCGUUGUCCGGAUUUAUUGGGUUUAAAGGGUGCGUAGGCGGGUCAUUAAGUCAGUGGUGAAAGCCGACAGCUUAACUGUCGAACUGCCAUUGAUACUGGUGAUCUUGAGUAUAGUUGAGGCAGGCGGAAUUUACGAUGUAGCGGUGAAAUGCAUAGAUAUCGUAAAGAACACCUAUAGCGAAGGCAGCUUGCUAAGCUAUUACUGACGCUGAGGCACGAAAGCAUGGGUAGCGAACAGG